This 67-nucleotide transfer RNA is filed under the name mouse gut metagenome. It matches the Rfam family "tRNA". From Rfam's summary of the family: Transfer RNA (tRNA) molecules are approximately 80 nucleotides in length. Their secondary structure includes four short double-helical elements and three loops (D, anti-codon, and T loops). RNAcentral also lists the same sequence under 1 other name. The record is from RNAcentral.
CUUAUGGUGUAAUGGAUAGCACAAUGGUCUUCGGAACCAUUAGCGAGGGUUCGAAUCCUUCUAGGCG